Molecule: ribosomal RNA, 675 nt
Filed under: Cordyceps fratricida
Lineage: Eukaryota; Fungi; Ascomycota; Sordariomycetes; Hypocreales; Cordycipitaceae
Description: SSU rRNA
Rfam family: Eukaryotic small subunit ribosomal RNA
Source: RNAcentral
CAUGCAUGUCUAAGUAUAAGCAAUUAUACAGCGAAACUGCGAAUGGCUCAUUAUAUAAGUUAUCGUUUAUUUGAUAGUACCUUACUACUUGGAUAACCGUGGUAAUUCUAGAGCUAAUACAUGCUAAAAAUCCCGACUUCGGAAGGGAUGUAUUUAUUAGAUUAAAAACCAAUGCCCUCUGGGCUCUCUGGUGAUUCAUAAUAACUUCUCGAAUCGCAUGGCCUUGCGCCGGCGAUGGUUCAUUCAAAUUUCUUCCCUAUCAACUUUCGAUGUUUGGGUAGUGGCCAAACAUGGUUGCAACGGGUAACGGAGGGUUAGGGCUCGACCCCGGAGAAGGAGCCUGAGAAACGGCUACUACAUCCAAGGAAGGCAGCAGGCGCGCAAAUUACCCAAUCCCGAUUCGGGGAGGUAGUGACAAUAAAUACUGAUACAGGGCUCUUUUGGGUCUUGUAAUUGGAAUGAGUACAAUUUAAAUCCCUUAACGAGGAACAAUUGGAGGGCAAGUCUGGUGCCAGCAGCCGCGGUAAUUCCAGCUCCAAUAGCGUAUAUUAAAGUUGUUGUGGUUAAAAAGCUCGUAGUUGAACCUUGGGCCUGGCUGGCCGGUCCGCCUCACCGCGUGUACUGGUCCGGCCGGGCCUUUCCCUCUGUGGAACCCCAUGCCCUUCACUGGGUGUG